This 253-nucleotide ribosomal RNA is filed under the name uncultured bacterium. RNAcentral's name for it is "partial 16S ribosomal RNA". It matches the Rfam family "Bacterial small subunit ribosomal RNA", at positions 524 to 776 of the family's 1533-position model. The record is from RNAcentral.
UACGUAGGGGGCAAGCGUUGUCCGGAAUCAUUGGGCGUAAAGAGCGUGUAGGCGGCCCGAUAAGUCCGCCGUGAAAGUCCAGGGCUCAACCCUGGAAUGCCGGUGGAAACUGUCGGGCUGGAGUCCGGAAGAGGCGAGUGGAAUUCCUGGUGUAGCGGUGAAAUGCGCAGAUAUCAGGAGGAACACCAAUGGCGAAGGCAGCUCGCUGGGACGGUACUGACGCUGAGACGCGAAAGCGUGGGGAGCGAAUAGG